RNAcentral lists this unclassified non-coding RNA (205 nucleotides) under Hevea brasiliensis (rubber tree). Lineage: Eukaryota; Viridiplantae; Streptophyta; Magnoliopsida; Malpighiales; Euphorbiaceae. The record is from RNAcentral.
GUGACAUUAUGGAGCAGUUCUUUGAGUCUUCUCUCUUCAAUCUACAAAAUUUUUGUUAUCUGUACUGGGAUUUGAAGAAAAAAAAUAAGCAGUUGGACGUCAGGAGUGUCUUUGCAUGUAUGUAUACUAAGUAUAGGUAAUAUAGUAUCUUUCAAUUUAGCGGCUGGAGCUCUUUUUCAUCUGUCAUAGUUUCAACGCUUCCAAG